UGCAAGUCGAACGAUGAACCUCACUUGUGGGGGGAUUAGUGGCGAACGGGUGAGUAACACGUGAGUAACCUGCCCUUGACUCUGGGAUAAGCCUGGGAAACUGGGUCUAAUACCGGAUAUGACUCCUCAUCGCAUGGUGGGGGGUGGAAAGCUUUUUGUGGUUUUGGAUGGACUCGCGGCCUAUCAGCUUGUUGGUGAGGUAAUGGCUCACCAAGGCGACGACGGGUAGCCGGCCUGAGAGGGUGACCGGCCACACUGGGACUGAGACACGGCCCAGACUCCUACGGGAGGCAGCAGUGGGGAAUAUUGCACAAUGGGCGAAAGCCUGAUGCAGCGACGCCGCGUGAGGGAUGACGGCCUUCGGGUUGUAAACCUCUUUCAGUAGGGAAGAAGCGAAAGUGACGGUACCUGCAGAAGAAGCGCCGGCUAACUACGUGCCAGCAGCCGCGGUAAUACGUAGGGCGCAAGCGUUAUCCGGAAUUAUUGGGCGUAAAGAGCUCGUAGGCGGUUUGUCGCGUCUGCCGUGAAAGUCCGGGGCUCAACUCCGGAUCUGCGGUGGGUACGGGCAGACUAGAGUGAUGUAGGGGAGACUGGAAUUCCUGGUGUAUCGGUGAAAUGCGCAGAUAUCAGGAGGAACACCGAUGGCGAAAGCAGGUCUCUGGGCAUUAACUGACGCUGAAGAGCGAAAGCAUGGGGAGCGAACAGGAUUAGAUACCCUGGUAGUCCAUGCCGUAAACGUUGGGCACUAGGUGUGGGGGACAUUCCACGUUUUCCGCGCCGUAGCUAACGCAUUAAGUGCCCCGCCUGGGGAGUACGGCCGCAAGGCUAAAACUCAUAGGAAUUGACGGGGGCCCGCACAA
This 860-nucleotide ribosomal RNA is filed under the name Pseudarthrobacter sulfonivorans. RNAcentral's name for it is "bacterial SSU rRNA". It matches the Rfam family "Bacterial small subunit ribosomal RNA", at positions 56 to 928 of the family's 1533-position model. The record is from RNAcentral. Lineage: Bacteria; Bacillati; Actinomycetota; Actinomycetes; Micrococcales; Micrococcaceae.